This 590-nucleotide ribosomal RNA is filed under the name Micromonospora sp. Ri3Pw_6298. RNAcentral describes it as "bacterial SSU rRNA". It matches the Rfam family "Bacterial small subunit ribosomal RNA", at positions 422 to 1021 of the family's 1533-position model. Lineage: Bacteria; Bacillati; Actinomycetota; Actinomycetes; Micromonosporales; Micromonosporaceae. The record is from RNAcentral.
GUUGUAAACCUCUUUCAGCAGGGACGAAGCGUAAGUGACGGUACCUGCAGAAGAAGCACCGGCCAACUACGUGCCAGCAGCCGCGGUAAGACGUAGGGUGCGAGCGUUGUCCGGAUUUAUUGGGCGUAAAGAGCUCGUAGGCGGCUUGUCGCGUCGACCGUGAAAACUUGGGGCUCAACCCCAAGCCUGCGGUCGAUACGGGCAGGCUAGAGUUCGGUAGGGGAGACUGGAAUUCCUGGUGUAGCGGUGAAAUGCGCAGAUAUCAGGAGGAACACCGGUGGCGAAGGCGGGUCUCUGGGCCGAUACUGACGCUUAGGAGCGAAAGCGUGGGGAGCGAACAGGAUUAGAUACCCUGGUAGUCCACGCUGUAAACGUUGGGCGCUAGGUGUGGGGGGCCUCUCCGGUUCUCUGUGCCGCAGCUAACGCAUUAAGCGCCCCGCCUGGGGAGUACGGCCGCAAGGCUAAAACUCAAAGGAAUUGACGGGGGCCCGCACAAGCGGCGGAGCAUGCGGAUUAAUUCGAUGCAACGCGAAGAACCUUACCUGGGUUUGACAUGGCCGCAAAACUUGCAGAGAUGUAAGGUCCUUCGG